AUUGAACGCUGGCGGCAGGCCUAACACAUGCAAGUCGAGCGGAUGAAGGGAGCUUGCUCCUGGAUUCAGCGGCGGACGGGUGAGUAAUGCCUAGGAAUCUGCCUGGUAGUGGGGGAUAACGUCCGGAAACGGGCGCUAAUACCGCAUACGUCCUGAGGGAGAAAGUGGGGGAUCUUCGGACCUCACGCUAUCAGAUGAGCCUAGGUCGGAUUAGCUAGUUGGUGGGGUAAAGGCCUACCAAGGCGACGAUCCGUAACUGGUCUGAGAGGAUGAUCAGUCACACGGGAAGUGAGACACGGUCCAGACUCCUACGGGAGGCAGCAGUGGGGAAUAUUGGACAGUGGGCGAAAGCCUGAUCCAGCCAUGCCGCGUGUGUGAAGAAGGUCUUCGGAUUGUAAAGCACUUUAAGUUGGGAGGAAGGGCAGUAAGUUAAGACCUUGCUGUUGUGACGUUACCAACAGAAUAAGCGCCGGCUAACUUCGUG
RNAcentral lists this ribosomal RNA (484 nucleotides) under uncultured bacterium. RNAcentral's name for it is "partial 16S ribosomal RNA". It matches the Rfam family "Bacterial small subunit ribosomal RNA", at positions 30 to 507 of the family's 1533-position model. The record is from RNAcentral.